GACGUAGGUGGCGAACGUUAUCCGGAAUUAUUGGGCGUAAAGGGUGCGUAGGCGGCAUGAUAAGUUAUUGGCGGGAAAUCGAGGCUCAACCCCGUGGAAACUAAUAAUACUGUUUUGCUUGAGUACAGGAGAGGUUAACGGAACUCCAUGUGGAGCGGUAAAAUGUGUAGAUAUAUGGAAGAACAUCAAUAACGGCGAAGGCAGUUAACUAUUCUGUUACUGACGUUGAGGCACGAAAGCGUGGGGAGCAAAACGG
RNAcentral lists this ribosomal RNA (256 nucleotides) under uncultured bacterium. RNAcentral describes it as "partial 16S ribosomal RNA". It matches the Rfam family "Bacterial small subunit ribosomal RNA", at positions 524 to 776 of the family's 1533-position model. The record is from RNAcentral.